AGGCGCGUGGCUUAGUGGUUAGGGCAUUCGGCUCAUAAUCGUAAGGUCAUGAGUUCAAUUCCCGCGGCGACUC
Octopus bimaculoides (California two-spot octopus) is the source of this 73-nucleotide non-coding RNA. The record is from Rfam. NCBI's taxonomy places the organism in Eukaryota, Metazoa, Mollusca, Cephalopoda, Octopoda, Octopodidae.